This is a small nucleolar RNA of Manis pentadactyla (Chinese pangolin), 75 nucleotides long. RefSeq annotates it as small nucleolar RNA SNORD113/SNORD114 family. The record is from RefSeq and is a predicted model, not a curated record. NCBI's taxonomy places the organism in Eukaryota, Metazoa, Chordata, Mammalia, Pholidota, Manidae. The transcript has a single exon.
UGGACCAGUAAUGAUGCCUGGUGGCGUAUGAGUCAUGGAUGAUGACUACUACGUAUCCAGAACUCUGAGGUCCAU